CCAGUUCAAACAAUAUACUCAUACAAAGACAAUGUGACGUUUAAAUGUGAUAAUGGAUAUGAGUUGUCAUCAGCCGAUACCAUAACCUGUCAAAGUGAUGGAACAUGGAGUAAAAAACAACCAAAUUGUACAGGUGUUCUAUGCCCUCCUUUGCCUAAGGUUGGCAAUGCCUUACUACCAACCAAGAUACAAGGAUAUAGAUAUCCUGAAACAUUGAAAGUCACUUGUGAAACAGGUUAUGUGUUUGAUGGUUCUGAUCUACUCCAGUGUAAUUCAAGUGGAUUUUGGGGAUUUAUACCACAAUGCAAAGGAGUUUUAUGUAGAGACUUUCCCAAAAUAGACAGCAUAGUGACGUCUAUACAGGCAACAAAAAGAUACCGGUUUCCGGCGUCUGUGAAUGUCUCUUGCAAAGCAGGAUACCAGAUUAACGGUUCCAACCCACUGCAUUGUAAUCAAACCGGAGAUUGGAGUACCCCACCAGUUUG
This is a long non-coding RNA of Mytilus californianus (California mussel), 485 nucleotides long. RefSeq lists it as uncharacterized. The transcript is spliced from 3 exons. The record is from RefSeq and is a predicted model, not a curated record. NCBI's taxonomy places the organism in Eukaryota, Metazoa, Mollusca, Bivalvia, Mytilida, Mytilidae.